ACGCUCGACACCUACGGGAGGCUGCAGUGGGGAAUAUUGCACAAUGGGGGAAACCCUGAUGCAGCGACGCCGCGUGAGCGAAGAAGUAUCUCGGUAUGUAAAGCUCUAUCAGCAGGGAAGAAGAUGACGGUACCUGACUAAGAAGCACCGGCUAAAUACGUGCCAGCAGCCGCGGUAAUCUGAGCGGGCGUGGCAAGGC
This 199-nucleotide ribosomal RNA is filed under the name uncultured bacterium. RNAcentral describes it as "partial 16S ribosomal RNA". It matches the Rfam family "Bacterial small subunit ribosomal RNA", at positions 328 to 538 of the family's 1533-position model. The record is from RNAcentral.